ACCCAGGUGGCUCAGUCGGUUGGGUGUCUGACUUCGGCUCAGGUCAUGACCCUCGCAGUUCGUGGGUUCGAGCCCCGCAUUGGGCU
RNAcentral lists this transfer RNA (86 nucleotides) under Felis catus (domestic cat). It matches the Rfam family "tRNA". Rfam says of the family: Transfer RNA (tRNA) molecules are approximately 80 nucleotides in length. Lineage: Eukaryota; Metazoa; Chordata; Mammalia; Carnivora; Felidae. The record is from Rfam by way of RNAcentral. RNAcentral also lists the same sequence under 2 other names.